Molecule: long non-coding RNA, 238 nt
Organism: Vicia villosa (hairy vetch)
Lineage: Eukaryota; Viridiplantae; Streptophyta; Magnoliopsida; Fabales; Fabaceae
Exons: 3
Source: RefSeq, a predicted model, not a curated record
AUUGCAGUAUCAGAGUGGCCAAAAUAACCUGCAACCACCUCCUAGAUCUCAGCGUACCACCAGAAGUAUAGGAUCACUUUCUCGGCCACUUGGACUUGGUCGGGGUAAGAAGGAUAAAUCUACUGUGGAAGAAUCAUCUGUGGGAGACACUGCCAUCAGUCAACAUGAAGACAAGACAUAGUAUUUUGAGAAGCAAGAAUUGAAGUUCCUUUUUGGGUGAACAUAUAUUUUCUAAUUG